GGAGGACCGAGUGCCGCU
Molecule: small nuclear RNA, 18 nt
Filed under: Arabidopsis thaliana (thale cress)
Lineage: Eukaryota; Viridiplantae; Streptophyta; Magnoliopsida; Brassicales; Brassicaceae
Description: snRNA_05913
Source: RNAcentral